RNAcentral lists this long non-coding RNA (511 nucleotides) under Olea europaea (common olive). RNAcentral's name for it is "long non-coding RNA (OEUR_LNC005385)". The record is from RNAcentral. Lineage: Eukaryota; Viridiplantae; Streptophyta; Magnoliopsida; Lamiales; Oleaceae.
CUAUAUUUCUCUCUCAGUAAUCUAAUUAAGCAAGUUACACAACUGGUAAUCGAUGUUGCAGCAUGCACGCAACAAAACCUAAUCUUCUUUUUCAUAUACUUAAUACUUUAUAUGCUUUAUAUUAAUAUUUUUUAUAGCAUGUUUAGUGUAGAAUACGGGAUGGAUAUGGAUAGUACUCUAUAUCUUUUUUUGAUUUUGUACUGUCUGAUUGUAUGCCCUAUGUAUUAUUUAAGAUACAUGCAUUUUUGGAAUAUGUAACAACUUUUUGAUCAACUACGUUAAUCUCUUCAGGUGGCUAGAUAGUUUGAGGAUCAAUCAUGAAGAUUUUUAUUGUUCUUGUUUUUGCCUUCUUGUUGAUCCUAGGAGCUGUUCAUGAAUCCCAUGCAAAAGAAUUGCUCCCUUUAAAGAAUCGUAUGCUUCUUAGAAACAUUGAUCCUCCACGACUUGUUCCCGGUGGUCCGAAUCAAUGUACUAGUUGUCAUCCUGGUUCAUAUGAUCAAAAGGCUACUAG